UGUCACAAGGGGCAGAUAUACAAGGAA
This 27-nucleotide non-coding RNA is filed under the name Rattus norvegicus (Norway rat). The record is from RNAcentral. Lineage: Eukaryota; Metazoa; Chordata; Mammalia; Rodentia; Muridae.